UCUCAAAAAAUCAAAACUUUCACAACUCAUUUAUUCAUUGCAAAUUAUCAAAUUAAUUAGCCACAAUUAUUCAUUGCAACUCAUUUUUAAAAGUUUGUAACCCAUUAAUAUGUUGACUAUGACCUUUUGUGACCAAGUUUGUUAAUUGUGAUCUAUUGUGACCAGUAAUGUAUUGGAUGUGACUUGUUGUCUAACUAUAAUAUGUUAUCACAAAUUAUAUCUAACAAAAAAUUAACCUAAAUCAUACGUGAUGUAAAGCAAACGAGAAGGCGAUUUGAUAGGUUCAUCAAAUUGAAGGGGAAGACCAACCCUACGAGGUUUGAGACAAACGACGCCGUCGGAAUCACCCUUCUUUGCCAUGUUUCCAACACAACCCACCAAUGAAUUCUAUUGGUUUACACACACAUUCAUGGUUUUUGCCUUAUUAUUCACAAAUCCAAAGCCUAAACGACAAACAAAAACACCCAACUUCAGAUCUAUACAUACAAAUUACAUAAACACAUAUAAACAAAAAAUUAAAAGGGUAUGCACAAUUUCUGAAAAUAAUUGGUAUACACAAAGAGAAGUCAGGUAAGCUGUCAAAUAGAGCCACCACCACAACAUAGUAACUACCGCACCCAACCACUGCGACCACAACCAACAGAGUCGUCAUCACCGCCACCAGAGCCAACAAACCUCAUAUUAGAAAAUCAUCACACCCCCACAACAACUAAGAGCACCACCGCAUCUAUACAACCAUCUCCAAAAUUACCACCACUACAACAGCGAGUCGCCACUUUCGACAGCGAUGGCGUGGUCGGCCUAGCAAAGCUCUCCAUGCUAUCGGAGAUGGCGGGGUGGAUGGAUUAGAGGGUAGAGAGAGAAGUCAGAGAAAAGAAGAGAGUGAGGAUGAGGGUAAAAAUGAAUUCGAUUUUGGGAUAAA
RNAcentral lists this long non-coding RNA (922 nucleotides) under Olea europaea (common olive). Its description in RNAcentral is "long non-coding RNA (OEUR_LNC002900)". Lineage: Eukaryota; Viridiplantae; Streptophyta; Magnoliopsida; Lamiales; Oleaceae. The record is from RNAcentral.